Molecule: transfer RNA, 65 nt
Filed under: Acanthoparyphium sp. WAK-2018
Lineage: Eukaryota; Metazoa; Platyhelminthes; Trematoda; Plagiorchiida; Himasthlidae
Description: tRNA-Gly
Source: RNAcentral
GUGUUAGUAGUUUAUUUAGAAUAUCGUCUUUCCAAGUCGAAGGUCUACGUUGGGUGGCUAUCAUA